Molecule: ribosomal RNA, 255 nt
Filed under: Enterobacter cloacae
Lineage: Bacteria; Pseudomonadati; Pseudomonadota; Gammaproteobacteria; Enterobacterales; Enterobacteriaceae
Also listed under: 21 other names
Description: partial 16S ribosomal RNA
Rfam family: Bacterial small subunit ribosomal RNA
Source: RNAcentral
CGGGAGGCAGCAGUGGGGAAUAUUGCACAAUGGGCGCAAGCCUGAUGCAGCCAUGCCGCGUGUAUGAAGAAGGCCUUCGGGUUGUAAAGUACUUUCAGCGGGGAGGAAGGUGUUGUGGUUAAUAACCGCAGCAAUUGACGUUACCCGCAGAAGAAGCACCGGCUAACUCCGUGCCAGCAGCCGCGGUAAUACGGAGGGUGCAAGCGUUAAUCGGAAUUACUGGGCGUAAAGCGCACGCAGGCGGUCUGUCAAGUC